RNAcentral lists this transfer RNA (73 nucleotides) under Megaselia scalaris. RNAcentral describes it as "tRNA-Val for anticodon UAC". It matches the Rfam family "tRNA". Rfam says of the family: Transfer RNA (tRNA) molecules are approximately 80 nucleotides in length. Their secondary structure includes four short double-helical elements and three loops (D, anti-codon, and T loops). Further hydrogen bonds mediate the characteristic L-shaped molecular structure. tRNAs have two regions of fundamental functional importance: the anti-codon, which is responsible for specific mRNA codon recognition, and the 3' end, to which the tRNAs corresponding amino acid is attached (by aminoacyl-tRNA synthetases). tRNAs cope with the degeneracy of the genetic code in two manners: having more than one tRNA (with a specific anti-codon) for a particular amino acid; and 'wobble' base-pairing, i.e. permitting non-standard base-pairing at the 3rd anti-codon position. Lineage: Eukaryota; Metazoa; Arthropoda; Insecta; Diptera; Phoridae. The record is from Rfam by way of RNAcentral.
GUUCCUGUGGUGUAGUGGUUAUCACAUUCGCCUUACACGCGGAAGGCCCCCGGUUCGAUCCCGGGCGGGAACA